UACGUAGGUGGCAAGCGUUGUCCGGAAUUAUUGGGCGUAAAGCGCGCGCAGGCGGUCCUUUAAGUCUGAUGUGAAAGCCCACGGCUCAACCGUGGAGGGUCAUUGGAAACUGGGGGACUUGAGUGCAGAAGAGGAAAGCGGAAUUCCACGUGUAGCGGUGAAAUUCGUAGAUAUUGGGAAGAACACCGGUGGCGAAGGCGGCUCUCUGGACCGAGACUGACGCUGAGGAGCGAAAGCGUGGGGAGCGAACAGG
RNAcentral lists this ribosomal RNA (253 nucleotides) under uncultured bacterium. RNAcentral's name for it is "partial 16S ribosomal RNA". It matches the Rfam family "Bacterial small subunit ribosomal RNA", at positions 524 to 776 of the family's 1533-position model. The record is from RNAcentral.